Molecule: ribosomal RNA, 524 nt
Filed under: Prodesmodora circulata
Lineage: Eukaryota; Metazoa; Nematoda; Chromadorea; Desmodorida; Microlaimidae
Description: eukaryotic LSU rRNA
Rfam family: Eukaryotic large subunit ribosomal RNA
Source: RNAcentral
UGAAACACGGACCAAGGAGUCUAACAUGUGCGCGAGUUGUCGGGCAGGAAACCCGAGAGCGUAAUGAAGGUGAAGGUCGCUUCGUGCGGCUGAAAUGGGAUCCUUGCCCUUCGGGGUUCGGAGCACCAUAGUCCCGUCUCGUCUGCUCGCCAGUGAGGCGGAGACAGAGCGUACACGUUGGGACCCGAAAGAUGGUGAACUAUGCCUGAGCAGGAGGAAGCCAGAGGAAACUCUGGUGGAAGUCCAUAGCGGUUCUGACGUGCAAAUCGAUCGUCAGACUUGGGUAUAGGGGCGAAAGACUAAUCGAACCAUCUAGUAGCUGGUUCCCUCUGAAGUUUCCCUCAGGAUAGCUGGCGCUGGGAACGCAGUUUUAUCCGGUAAAGCGAAUGAUUAGAGGACUUGGGGACGAAACGACCUCAACCUAUUCUCAAACUUUAAAUGGGUAAGAAGUCUGGCUUGCUUGAUUUUUGAAGCGCAGACACUCUAGCGAAUGCAAGUGCCAAGUGGGCCAUUUUUGGUAAGCA